Molecule: transfer RNA, 72 nt
Filed under: Camelus ferus (Wild Bactrian camel)
Lineage: Eukaryota; Metazoa; Chordata; Mammalia; Artiodactyla; Camelidae
Rfam family: tRNA
About the family: Transfer RNA (tRNA) molecules are approximately 80 nucleotides in length. Their secondary structure includes four short double-helical elements and three loops (D, anti-codon, and T loops). Further hydrogen bonds mediate the characteristic L-shaped molecular structure. tRNAs have two regions of fundamental functional importance: the anti-codon, which is responsible for specific mRNA codon recognition, and the 3' end, to which the tRNAs corresponding amino acid is attached (by aminoacyl-tRNA synthetases). tRNAs cope with the degeneracy of the genetic code in two manners: having more than one tRNA (with a specific anti-codon) for a particular amino acid; and 'wobble' base-pairing, i.e. permitting non-standard base-pairing at the 3rd anti-codon position.
Source: Rfam by way of RNAcentral
GAGGGUGUAGCUCAGUGGUAGAGCACUUGCCCAGCAUGCACAAGGUCCUGGGUUCAAUCCCCAGUACCUCUA